ACACUUUGAGACUAAUGGAAACUGCCAUGGGAGUAUGAAACCAACAAAAAUUCUUAAUUCAAGCAAAUUUUAAACAGAGACAAUGAGGUGAGUUACAAUUAGGCCUAGAUAAUGGGUAGCUCUAACCAUGGAAAAUUUAGGCCUAGAUAUAUACUUGUUAGGACUAUUAGAAUUCAACUACUAAAACUAAUUUUUCAGACUUCAUCAUCUACUACUCAAUUCAUGUUGCUUCUUGGUUUUAUCUGUUGGCACAACCUAAAAGAAAAUAGGCACUACUGCAUAUGCUUGUUUUAGACUCGUAGACUUCAAUUACUACAGAAGUUGGUCCUCCUAAUGUUUUUGGAAGUAUAAUGAUACUGUAAACUGAGAAAAAAGGAAUCAAGAUUAAUAAAACCAACCUUAUGCAAUGAAAAGGAAGCUCCUCCAGCAAGAACAGUCACAUCGCUGGGGAUUUCCUGGGAGAAAAUCCUGACAAGUUCAUGGUGCCAUCUCCAUUAAUUAUAUCCAGAAAAGAAAACAAGAUAAUUUAAGAUAAAAACAAGAAGGUAAAGUAAAAAGAAGCCAACCAUCCACUGGUUCUUUUCAU
Molecule: unclassified non-coding RNA, 586 nt
Filed under: Hevea brasiliensis (rubber tree)
Lineage: Eukaryota; Viridiplantae; Streptophyta; Magnoliopsida; Malpighiales; Euphorbiaceae
Source: RNAcentral